UUGAAGUUUUAAUUUGCAGGGUUAGAAACAUUUAUUUUAAUAAAUGACUAUAAUUGAACUGUACAGACCGGUAAUGCCCUGUAAUCCUGUUCCAGGGACGGAUAUGAGUUAGAGGGUGUUAUACGAACACUCGUCGAACACGCCAGAUACAUACAGGACACGCCAGAAUACAUAAAAAAAGUCAAACACGGUCACGAAACCAGUGUCUAAAGACAGACACAUGACAGAUGCAGGAAAAGUAGAUGGUGGCUGACGGACGGUGGCUGAAACUUUGUCGAAACGGCUGGUCUGUGCAAGUGUUUUUGGUGGGUAAACCCUAAAAACAAAAAAAGUAAUUUAUCAGAAGAAGUGAGUAAAGAGUUUGAAACUUAAAAAACCCUAACUAGCACUAACUAUUCAGAAAAGUCUGUUGGACUUGGACUUAUUCUUAGGCCCUAAAGCUAAACCCAUGAUGGGCGGUGGUCGGAAGCCUACUGUCUUUGCAUAAAUCUUUAUUUCGUUCUUUCAAUUUAUCUCUGUAGAUUAUUAACAACUUGGAAUUUUCUCCGUUUGUCGUUUCUAAUGCAAAUAUUGUCUAGGUUUUCUAUUGAAGGCUUAACUAUUACUAAAUUCUCUAACUUUACCAACUUCAAAUUUAGAUUUGAUAUGACAUGAAGCAUUUUAACAUAAUAUAUAUAAAUAUUAAAAAUAUUUUUUUAUUGCUAUAUCUAUGUCCUCAAUUUUUAAAAAUUAUCGUGUCCCUGUAUCUGUAUUGUGUCGUACCUGUAUUGUGUGUCUGUGACAUAAAAAAUAUAUAUAAAUAUUAAAAAUAUUUUUUUAUUGCCGUAUCUGUGUCCUCAAUUUUUAAAAAUUAUCGUGUCCCCAUAUCUGUAUUGUGUUGUACCUGUAUUGUGUGUCCGUGUCCAUGCUUCAUAGCAUAGAACAUAGCGAAAAUCAGCCCGGGGAACUAGCGAUUGAUACCAUGAAAGAAUAGCAAACAAACUAACUAUACUAACUUUCUGAAUUAACUUGUG
This 1013-nucleotide long non-coding RNA is filed under the name Gossypium barbadense (sea-island cotton). RNAcentral's name for it is "long non-coding RNA (GBAR_LNC009735)". Lineage: Eukaryota; Viridiplantae; Streptophyta; Magnoliopsida; Malvales; Malvaceae. The record is from RNAcentral.